GACGAACGCUGGCGGCGUGCUUAACACAUGCAAGUCGAACGGAAAGGCCCUGCUUUUGUGGGGUGCUCGAGUGGCGAACGGGUGAGUAACACGUGAGUAACCUGCCCUUGACUUUGGGAUAACUUCAGGAAACUGGGGCUAAUACCGGAUAGGAGCUCCUGCUGCAUGGUGGGGGUUGGAAAGUUUCGGCGGUUGGGGAUGGACUCGCGGCUUAUCAGCUUGUUGGUGGGGUAGUGGCUUACCAAGGCUUUGACGGGUAGCCGGCCUGAGAGGGUGACCGGCCACAUUGGGACUGAGAUACGGCCCAGACUCCUACGGGAGGCAGCGGUGGGGAAUAUUGCACAAUGGGGGGAAGCCUGAUGCAGCAACGCCGCGUGCGGGAUGACGGCCUUCGGGUUGUAAACCGCUUUCGCCUGUGACGAAGCGUGAGUGACGGUAAUGGGUAAAGAAGCACCGGCUAACUACGUG
This 468-nucleotide ribosomal RNA is filed under the name uncultured bacterium. RNAcentral's name for it is "partial 16S ribosomal RNA". It matches the Rfam family "Bacterial small subunit ribosomal RNA", at positions 28 to 507 of the family's 1533-position model. The record is from RNAcentral.